AGAGUUUGAUCAUGGCUCAGGACGAACGCUGGCGGCGUGCCUAAUACAUGCAAGUCGAGCGGACAGAAGGGAGCUUGCUCCCGGAUGUUAGCGGCGGACGGGUGAGUAACACGUGGGUAACCUGCCUGUAAGACUGGGAUAACUCCGGGAAACCGGAGCUAAUACCGGAUAGUUCCUUGAACCGCAUGGUUCAAGGAUGAAAGACGGUUUCGGCUGUCACUUACAGAUGGACCCGCGGCGCAUUAGCUAGUUGGUGAGGUAACGGCUCACCAAGGCGACGAUGCGUAGCCGACCUGAGAGGGUGAUCGGCCACACUGGGACUGAGACACGGCCCAGACUCCUGCGGGAGGCAGCAGUAGGGAAUCUUCCGCAAUGGACGAAAGUCUGACGGAGCAACGCCGCGUGAGUGAUGAAGGUUUUCGGAUCGUAAAGCUCUGUUGUUAGGGAAGAACAAGUGCAAGAGUAACUGCUUGCACCUUGACGGUACCUAACCAGAAAGCCACGGCUAACUACGUGCCAGCAGCCGCGGUAAUACGUAGGUGGCAAGCGUUGUCCGGAAUUAUUGGGCGUAAAGGGCUCGCAGGCGGUUUCUUAAGUCUGAUGUGAAAGCCCCCGGCUCAACCGGGGAGGGUCAUUGGAAACUGGGAAACUUGAGUGCAGAAGAGGAGAGUGGAAUUCCACGUGUAGCGGUGAAAUGCGUAGAGAUGUGGAGGAACACCAGUGGCGAAGGCGACUCUCUGGUCUGUAACUGACGCUGAGGAGCGAAAGCGUGGGGAGCGAACAGGAUUAGAUACCCUGGUAGUCCACGCCGUAAACGAUGAGUGCUAAGUGUUAGGGGGUUUCCGCCCCUUAGUGCUGCAGCUAACGCAUUAAGCACUCCGCCUGGGGAGUACGGUCGCAAGACUGAAACUCAAAGGAAUUGACGGGGGCCCGCACAAGCGGUGGAGCAUGUGGUUUAAUUCGAAGCAACGCGAAGAACCUUACCAGGUCUUGACAUCCUCUGACAACCCUAGAGAUAGGGCUUUCCCUUCGGGGACAGAGUGACAGGUGGUGCAUGGUUGUCGUCAGCUCGUGUCGUGAGAUGUUGGGUUAAGUCCCGCAACGAGCGCAACCCUUGAUCUUAGUUGCCAGCAUUUAGUUGGGCACUCUAAGGUGACUGCCGGUGACAAACCGGAGGAAGGUGGGGAUGACGUCAAAUCAUCAUGCCCCUUAUGACCUGGGCUACACACGUGCUACAAUGGACAGAACAAAGGGCUGCGAGACCGCAAGGUUUAGCCAAUCCCACAAAUCUGUUCUCAGUUCGGAUCGCAGUCUGCAACUCGACUGCGUGAAGCUGGAAUCGCUAGUAAUCGCGGAUCAGCAUGCCGCGGUGAAUACGUUCCCGGGCCUUGUACACACCGCCCGUCACAC
This 1410-nucleotide ribosomal RNA is filed under the name Bacillus sp. Tp11. RNAcentral's name for it is "16S ribosomal RNA". It matches the Rfam family "Bacterial small subunit ribosomal RNA". Lineage: Bacteria; Bacillati; Bacillota; Bacilli; Caryophanales; Bacillaceae. The record is from RNAcentral.